AGAGUAGAAGAUACUGAUGAAGAAUUUCCUGAAGUCCCUGAGACGUCCACCGAGAAGUUGAUCUAUUUGCUAUGUCGGCGGAGCGGUCAGAAAGCGGGAAGCGGCUGCCGCGCUGCUGGGCGUGCGUAGCGCAACCUGCACCGCCGGCUGAAGCAGAGAGCAAAGAGGGGACGAAAUAGCCCCCGAGCCUCCCCCCGGGGCGGGGAGCAGCCGCGUGCCGGCUCUCGUUUUACUGCUGCUUCGAUCAAGUUCCUUGCGGAGCGUGACAUUGCCGAUGGAUUAGGACGUGGAGGUUCCUUCCAGUCCUUGGGGUGAAUAAAAAUUAUCAACUCUUGA
Non-coding RNA from Struthio camelus australis, 336 nucleotides. Lineage: Eukaryota; Metazoa; Chordata; Aves; Struthioniformes; Struthionidae. The record is from RefSeq and is a predicted model, not a curated record.